CAGAGAUCUUCCUGAGAAAAUCAAUUUGGUUUGUGCAUGUGUCAGUGCUGCACCAUGGUCCAGCGGGGAUUGACUGCAAUGCAUCAUGGGAGAGUAGCCCAUCACAGGUGUUUUACAAGAAAGUCCCGUUCAAGGCAACCUUGAUGAAUCCCGUGCAUAAGAGAUCAGACCUGAUGUCAGAGCUCAUAAGAGUCGGAAGCAUCAGUGAAGGACGAGCGGCGCGGCGCGUCUCUCACUGAUAAAUUGCAUAAUGGACACCUCGGCUGGUCUGGGCCUUUGGGACGCGGGUCAUCUUACAGUGGCCAGAUGCUGUUUCAGACACACGAAUGAAGACCACCGGUGACUCGGGAAUGUGUCUGAUCUUUCCGGACACGACAGCGCUCACGCCGUUUGGCUGAAUAAUGCAUUGCUCACACUUGAGUGAAGUGGAGCUUCAGCGAGACGAGGUCAGAUCUUCUGCCAGGGAUUUGGGAUCAUCUGCCAGCCGUGUGCUCUCAUUUAACAGUCGUCCUUACUAGUCAUUUACACCACUUUUUAAUGCUGUGAUAAAAUAGUAUUCUAGCUGCAUAGUAUGAUUGAUGAAACAUGUUUGUUUGUAUUUAUUUUUUUUUACAUUGUAAAUGCCUUUGUAUUAUGCUAUUAAUUUAUUUAUUUAAUGGUGUCAUAGUAAUACUAUGGCCUUUGGACAUGUACCAUGGUAAUACUGUGUUUUUGAAUAAUUAUAUAAAUACAUAUAAUUCAUAUGAAAG
Molecule: long non-coding RNA, 749 nt
Organism: Cyprinus carpio carpio
Lineage: Eukaryota; Metazoa; Chordata; Actinopteri; Cypriniformes; Cyprinidae
Source: Ensembl